RNAcentral lists this ribosomal RNA (1401 nucleotides) under uncultured bacterium. RNAcentral's name for it is "16S ribosomal RNA". It matches the Rfam family "Bacterial small subunit ribosomal RNA". The record is from RNAcentral.
GCGGCAGGCUUACACAUGCAAGUCGAGGGGUAAUCACGCUUUCGGGCGUGAACGACCGGCGCACGGGUGAGUAACGCGUAUGGAACUUUCCUGCAACAGGAGAAUAGCCCGGGGAAACCCGGAUUAAUGCUCCAUAAAGCUUAUAGGUGGCAUCACCGAUAAGUUAAAGCUUUGGCGGUUGCAGAUGGCCAUGCGUACCAUUAGUUAGUUGGUGAGGUAACGGCUCACCAAGGCGACGAUGGUUAGGGGUCCUGAGAGGGUCAUCCCCCACACUGGAACUGAGACACGGUCCAGACUCCUACGGGAGGCAGCAGUGAGGAAUAUUGGUCAAUGGGCGAGAGCCUGAACCAGCCAUGCCGCGUGCAGGAAGACAGCCCUACGGGUUGUAAACUGCUUUUCUGGCGGAAGAAAGUACCGCACUUGUGCGGUAUUGACGGUACGCCAGGAAUAAGCAUCGGCUAACUCCGUGCCAGCAGCCGCGGUAAUACGGAGGAUGCAAGCGUUAUCCGGAUUCAUUGGGUUUAAAGGGUGCGCAGGCGGUGGUAUAAGUCAGUGGUGAAAGCCCGGGGCUCAACUCCGGGAUUGCCAUUGAAACUGUAUCACUUGAGUGUAGUCGAGGACGGCGGAAUGAGUUAUGUAGCGGUGAAAUGCAUAGAUAUAACUCAGAACACCGAUUACGGAGGCAGCUGUCUAGGCUACGACUGACGCUGAGGCACGAAAGCGUGGGGAGCGAACAGGAUUAGAUACCCUGGUAGUCCACGCUGUAAACGAUGAUCACUCGCUGUUGGUUACCCAGUAACUAGUGGCUGAGGGAAACCAUUAAGUGAUCCACCUGGGGAGUACGUCGGCAACGAUGAAACUCAAAGGAAUUGACGGGGGCCCGCACAAGCGGAGGAACAUGUGGUUUAAUUCGAUGAUACGCGAGGAACCUUACCUGGGCUUAAAUGCAGGCUGCAUUCCGGUGAAAGCCGGAUUUCCUACGGGACCGCCUGCAAGGUGCUGCAUGGUUGUCGUCAGCUCGUGCCGUGAGGUGUCGGGUUAAGUCCCAUAACGAGCGCAACCCUUAUCGCUAGUUGCCAGCAUGUGAUGGUGGGGACUCUAGCGAGACUGCCGGUGUAAACCGGAGGAAGGUGGGGAUGACGUCAAAUCAGCACGGCCCUUACGCCCAGGGCUACACACGUGUUACAAUGGCCGGUACAGAGAGCAGCCACCUGGCGAUAGGGCGCUAAUCUCGAAAGCCGGUCCCAGUUCGGAUCGGAGUCUGCAAUUCGACUCCGUGAAGGUGGAUUCGCUAGUAAUCGCGCAUCAGCCAUGGCGCGGUGAAUAAGUUCCCGGGCCUUGUACACACCGCCCGUCAAGCCAUGGAAGCCGGGGGUACCUGAAGUCCGUAACCGAGAGGAG